ACAUCCAGAGAACUUAGCAGAGAUGCUUUGGUGCCUUCGGGAACUCUGAGACAGGUGCUGCAUGGCUGUCGUUAGCUCGUGUUGUGAAAUGUUGGGUUAAGUCCCGCAACGAGCGCAACCCUUAUCCUUUGUUGCCAGCGGCUCGGCCGGGAACUCAAAGGAGACUGCCGGUGAUAAACCGGAGGAAGGUGGGGAUGACGUCAAGUCAUCAUGGCCCUUACGGCCAGGGCUACACACGUGCUACAAUGGCGCAUACAAAGAGAAGCGACCUCGCGAGAGCAAGCGGACCUCAUAAAGUGCGUCGUAGUCCGGAUUGGAGUCUGCAACUCGACUCCAUGAAGUCGGAAUCGCUAGUAAUCGUAGAUCAGAAUGCUACGGUGAAUACGUUCCCGGGCCUUGUACACACCGCCCGUCACACCAUGGGAGUGGGUUGCAAAAGAAGUAGGUAGCUUAACCUUCGGGAGGGCGCUUACCACUUUGUGAUUCAUGACUGGGGUGAAGUCGUAACAAGGUAAGCGUAGCGAG
RNAcentral lists this ribosomal RNA (525 nucleotides) under uncultured bacterium. Its description in RNAcentral is "bacterial SSU rRNA". It matches the Rfam family "Bacterial small subunit ribosomal RNA", at positions 984 to 1509 of the family's 1533-position model. The record is from RNAcentral.